AGAGAAAUUUACACAUUUCAUUACUGAAAAUAAGUUUAGAUAUCUAAAACAUUCAUUUAAAGUGAAAUUAUAGCUAAUGGAAUAAAAUAAAAAUAAUGAAUAAAAUAUUCUAAUUUUUCAUAAAACAAUUUUUAUAGAACGCUACGUAAAUAAUUUUUACAACGUAAAAGCAAAAUAAAUUCCUACAUACAGUAGAACACGCAGCCAGGUAUUCAAAACAUUUAACAAUGACAUGUGGGCCCCCGAAUGACUAAAAGUAAUGAAGGUUGUGAACCUACAGUUUUUGAGGAUGCAAGUCCAACUGUAGCCCUCAACAAAAUAAGCUAUCUACCUACUAUCCUGAGCUUGAAAUGGGUGGAAAGAAGGGUGGUGAGAUUAUAUAAUCCCAGUGAGUAAACAAAUAUCAUCUAAAACAUCUAAAGCUAAGUAAAUGGAGACAGAUAAAAUAGAUUAGCAUUUCACCCAAAUAAAUAACGAAGCUUACGAUUUCCUGAAAAGCUUGGCUCGUGCCAAAAUCAUUCUCAUACUCGGUUGUCAAGGAUACCUUGGCCUGACGCUAUCCCAACCGAAUCCGCCAAGGCUGUUAAAAAGUCAUGUACGCAUAAAUCAUGUUUUUACUUUGAAAACGUAGUCGUUCCUUGGCGUUGGCCGAGUUCACCCUCACGUGGUGGUUCAGCGUGAAGUGAACUCUAAAGUUUUACCUCAGGAGUUACCAUACGCGCCUCCUCAACCGAGGUAAGAAUAUGCCCAGAUUUCGUGCCUCUCAAAAAGGCUGGUCCACAUAACCCGCCACUGUAGUGACCAAUCUAUAACCCACCAAUUCAAUAAAAAUUCAACAGCAUAACAUGACAAUUUUUAUCAUUAUCCAACGUAUCAAGGCAAACAACAGUUUAUACAUUUUCAACACAAAUACCCAUCCAGCCAUUCAUGCCCACGUUGUCAUAAGCCAUUCAAUUCAAAACAUAAUUUACAAUACAGCAAGUAGUCUCCAAUUACUCCAUUUUCAAAACCAUUAUUCAAUUUUAAGACAAUUUAUAAAAUCAUUUCAUUUAAUCACAUUUUCCAUAAAAUUACAAAAUCGGAUAAAAACAUACUUUAGAUAAUUAAGACGAUAAUAAGGUUACUCACUGUAAUGGGAAUAGAAUUCGGGAUACUCUGAUUCUUGAUCCUCGGAUACUACCUCUUUACUCUUGCCAGAAUGCUCACCACCUAGACACAAUGCACAAUAAGCAAUUUGCUACAUUUGUGCUAAACCGUUGUAAAACCAAUUCAAGCUCUAUACUAAUGCAUGAAAUGAGAUGUGAAAUACUCGGGUAACUAUCUAAAUACGUUGUUCAAUAUAAAUUCAAUUAUGUACCUAAAUAAAAUGGUAUUGGCCUAAUUCCAUCUAUCACCCGAUUAAUUGGCCAAUACGUCUAAUUCAACUCCAAACAAUUCCAUUUCUCUCCCAACACUCCAAAUCAUUAAACACAAUUUAAAUAACUUGAAAUAUGGUAAAAUCAUCCUCACAUUUUCUCUUUGAAAAAUUCGGCCAUGGAGGUUCUUGAGGGGUAUACGGUUUUUCAUGCUAAACAUUACCAUUUUCGGUUUCCACCACCAUAAUUCAUUAAUGUAAAGCCCGACCUUAUAAAAUACUAUUCAUGACUUACAUGUGAUGAUAGCAUGAUUGCAUGCUAGGAGAGUCCCGAAAAAUUUACAAAAGUCGGUAUUGUACCUAGAGGUACAACAAAG
RNAcentral lists this long non-coding RNA (1731 nucleotides) under Theobroma cacao (cacao). RNAcentral's name for it is "long non-coding RNA (TCAC_LNC005889)". The record is from RNAcentral. Lineage: Eukaryota; Viridiplantae; Streptophyta; Magnoliopsida; Malvales; Malvaceae.